UUGAAACUAACAACUUAUCUAUGAUAUGCAUGUUUACUGUCAUGAUAUCCAGCCCAACAGAUAUGACAUGGCUCUCUGCUCUUACCGUUGUUCUAACUAUGGGUGGCUUGUCUUCAGGAUUCCUAAUUGAUUAUGCAUGUCCAUCGGGAUGCUUAGAUACUACUUGUACAAGUUCGGGUUGUUCAAAUUGCCAGCCGGGAUUCUGUAAUUACUACUCAGCUACUAACAGAAUUACGAUAUGUACAAGAGAUUGUGGUAAAGGAAAAUUCUGUAGCUCUGUAAACUUUUGUUCAGAUUGUCAUGUGGAUCAAUGCGAUGUGUGUACAGAUUCACGCACGUGUAAACAGUGUGACUCCUUUUACUAUCUCAAAGACAACAACAGAUGUGUUACGUCCUUUGACUGUGAAAGGGGCGCAGCAAUUGCCACUACUCGGAAUGGAAUUCAAGUCUGCGAAACAUGCUAUGUUCAGAACUGCAAGAGAUGUGUUCAGAAUAACCCAGAUCGAUGCGAGGAGUGCGAAUAUUUGAGGUACCUGGAUAGUACCGGAUCUACUGACCAGUGUAGAACGAGAUCUUCGUGCGAGUUAUUUCAUGGCGAUCCUCAGUAUUCUGGAGGAAAAUAUGUCUGUUUAAAAAACUAAUUCAACCAUCGUCGAAUUACUUACCAAACGCAUCAACAUGUUACAGAUGUUUGCUUUGUUUUGAUACAUAUUGCAUUAAAUGUGGUGAUU
Long non-coding RNA from Mytilus californianus (California mussel), 731 nucleotides. RefSeq lists it as uncharacterized. Lineage: Eukaryota; Metazoa; Mollusca; Bivalvia; Mytilida; Mytilidae. The record is from RefSeq and is a predicted model, not a curated record. The transcript is spliced from 5 exons.